AACGCGAAGAACCUUACCUAGGCUUGACAUGCAGGGAAAUCUCGUAGAGAUACGGGGUCCGUAAGGGCCUUGCACAGGUGGUGCAUGGCUGUCGUCAGCUCGUGUCGUGAGAUGUUGGGUUAAGUCCCGCAACGAGCGCAACCCUCGUUCUAUGUUGCCAGCGAGUAAUGUCGGGGACUCAUAGGAGACUGCCGGGGUCAACUCGGAGGAAGGUGGGGAUGACGUCAAGUCAUCAUGCCCCUUAUGUCUAGGGCUGCACACAUGCUACAAUGGCCGGUACAAAGGGCUGCGAUACCGCAAGGUGGAGCGAAUCCCAUAAAGCCGGUCUCAGUUCGGAUUGGGGUCUGCAACUCGACCCCAUGAAGUCGGAGUCGCUAGUAAUCGCAGAUCAGCAACGCUGCGGUGAAUACGUUCCCGGGCCUUGUACACACCGACGCGUA
RNAcentral lists this ribosomal RNA (440 nucleotides) under uncultured bacterium. RNAcentral's name for it is "bacterial SSU rRNA". It matches the Rfam family "Bacterial small subunit ribosomal RNA", at positions 958 to 1399 of the family's 1533-position model. The record is from RNAcentral.